CAGAGCCAGUAAAGGCAGACACACUGAAGCUCAUUGGAGAGAGGGCAUGAGAAUAUGUUUCAAAAGGAACCACCUGG
RNAcentral lists this small nucleolar RNA (77 nucleotides) under Erinaceus europaeus (western European hedgehog). Its description in RNAcentral is "Small nucleolar RNA SNORD22 (ENSEEUG00000023712.1)". Lineage: Eukaryota; Metazoa; Chordata; Mammalia; Eulipotyphla; Erinaceidae. The record is from RNAcentral.